RNAcentral lists this long non-coding RNA (450 nucleotides) under Homo sapiens (human). RNAcentral's name for it is "non-protein coding lnc-SSX4B-2:1". The record is from RNAcentral. Lineage: Eukaryota; Metazoa; Chordata; Mammalia; Primates; Hominidae.
CUGCACCAGCCAUGUCCAGUUACCUGUUCAUCAUCAAAUCUGAGCUCCCCCUGGUUAUCGGCACCUUCCUGUACAUGGACCCCGAGGGGUGAGUGAGCAACACCCCUUGGCUGGCCAGCAGCCCCUUGACUCUGCCUGUGAGGCCCGGUCAGUAUCUUCAGCGCUGUGUGUGCAGCUGACUUCUGUCUCUGGUUUUGUCAGUCUGACUCUGGUCUGUGUGACAGUUUUUUUUUUUUUUUGACAGAGUCUCAUUCUGUCGCCCAGGCUGGAGUGCAGUGACACGAUCUCAGCUCACUGUAACCUCUGCCUCCCAGGUUCAAGCGAUUCUCCUUCCUCAGCCUCCUGAGUAGGUGGGAUUACAGGCAUGCACCACCAUGCUCGGUUAAUUUUUUAAUUUUAUUUUUUUGAGACAGAGUCUUACUCUGUUGCCCAGGCUGGAGUGCAGUGGCG